Molecule: unclassified non-coding RNA, 212 nt
Filed under: Hevea brasiliensis (rubber tree)
Lineage: Eukaryota; Viridiplantae; Streptophyta; Magnoliopsida; Malpighiales; Euphorbiaceae
Source: RNAcentral
UCAAUGCGACCAGCGCGGUCUCCGCUCCGCUGCCGACGCGAUGAACCGUGACUCGGCUGGACUCCAUUUGCAGGAUCGAUUGUCCGUUACGCAGCGCGCCGGUGCGCGCGUCGUCGAAACCGGGCCCGGUCAGAUCGUUGAACAAUCCGGGGAAAUUUUUCGCACGAUCAUUGGCGCCGGCGAGCGCGCCGUUCGGCGUGAAGGUCAUCGCA